CAGUCGCCACGGGAAUACGUAGGUGGCGAGCGUUGUUCGGAAUUAUUGGGCGUAAAGCGCGCGUAGGCGGUUUUUUAAGUCUGAUGUGAAAGCCCACGGCUCAACCGUGGAGGGUCAUUGGAAACUGGAAAACUUGAGUGCAGAAGAGGAAAGUGGAAUUCCAUGUGUAGCGGUGAAAUGCGCAGAGAUAUGGAGGAACACCAGUGGCGAAGGCGACUUUCUGGUCUGUAACUGACGCUGAUGUGCGAAAGCGUGGGGAUCAAACAGGAUUAGAUACCCGCGUAGUCCCUGUCUCUUAUAC
Molecule: ribosomal RNA, 301 nt
Filed under: uncultured bacterium
Lineage: Bacteria
Description: partial 16S ribosomal RNA
Rfam family: Bacterial small subunit ribosomal RNA
Source: RNAcentral